UGGGGAGUCGUCUAACGGCAGGACGCCACCCUUUGGAGGUGGAUAUUCUAGGUUCAAAUCCUAGCUCCCCAGCCA
This 75-nucleotide transfer RNA is filed under the name candidate division WWE3 bacterium. RNAcentral describes it as "tRNA-Gln". It matches the Rfam family "tRNA". Rfam says of the family: Transfer RNA (tRNA) molecules are approximately 80 nucleotides in length. Their secondary structure includes four short double-helical elements and three loops (D, anti-codon, and T loops). The record is from RNAcentral. Lineage: Bacteria; candidate division WWE3.